Oncorhynchus keta (chum salmon) is the source of this 254-nucleotide long non-coding RNA. RefSeq lists it as uncharacterized. The record is from RefSeq and is a predicted model, not a curated record. The transcript is spliced from 3 exons. Lineage: Eukaryota; Metazoa; Chordata; Actinopteri; Salmoniformes; Salmonidae.
GGCGUGUCAGUGCAGGUCUAUGGCGUGUCAGUGUAGGUCUGUGGCGUGUCAGUGCAGGUCCGUGGCGUGUCAGUGCAGGUCCGUGGCGUGUCAGUGCAGGUCUGUGGCGUGUCAGUCCGUGUCAGUGCAGGUCCGUGGCGUGUCAGUGCAGGUCCGUGGCGUGUCAGUGCAGGUCUGUGGCGUGUCAGUGCGUGUCAGUGCAGGUCCGUGGCGUGUCACUGCAGGUCUGUGGCGUUUCAGUGCAGGUCUGUGGC